GGUCCCGUAGCUCAGUAGGAUAGAGCACCAGAUUCCUAAUCUGGGGGUCGCGCGUUCGAAUCGCGCCGGGAUCACCA
RNAcentral lists this transfer RNA (77 nucleotides) under Robiginitomaculum sp. RNAcentral's name for it is "tRNA-Arg". It matches the Rfam family "tRNA". From Rfam's summary of the family: Transfer RNA (tRNA) molecules are approximately 80 nucleotides in length. Their secondary structure includes four short double-helical elements and three loops (D, anti-codon, and T loops). RNAcentral also lists the same sequence under 3 other names. Lineage: Bacteria; Pseudomonadati; Pseudomonadota; Alphaproteobacteria; Maricaulales; Robiginitomaculaceae. The record is from RNAcentral.